Molecule: ribosomal RNA, 458 nt
Filed under: uncultured bacterium
Lineage: Bacteria
Description: bacterial SSU rRNA
Rfam family: Bacterial small subunit ribosomal RNA
Source: RNAcentral
CCUACGGGAGGCAGCAGUGAGGAAUAUUGGACAAUGGAGGCAACUCUGAUCCAGCCAUGCCGCGUGCAGGAAGACUGCCCUAUGGGUUGUAAACUGCUUUUAUACAGGAAGAAACACCUCUACGUGUAGAGGCUUGACGGUACUGUAAGAAUAAGGAUCGGCUAACUCCGUGCCAGCAGCCGCGGUAAUACGGAGGAUCCAAGCGUUAUCCGGAAUCAUUGGGUUUAAAGGGUCCGUAGGUGGAUAAUUAAGUCAGAGGUGAAAUCUUGCAGCUCAACUGUAAAAUUGCCUUUGAAACUGGUUAUCUUGAGUUAUUAUGAAGUAGUUAGAAUAUGUAGUGUAGCGGUGAAAUGCAUAGAUAUUACAUAGAAUACCAAUUGCGAAGGCAGAUUACUAAUAAUCAACUGACACUGAUGGACGAAAGCGUGGGUAGCGAACAGGAUUAGAUACCCUGGUAG